RNAcentral lists this ribosomal RNA (461 nucleotides) under uncultured bacterium. RNAcentral describes it as "bacterial SSU rRNA". It matches the Rfam family "Bacterial small subunit ribosomal RNA", at positions 28 to 507 of the family's 1533-position model. The record is from RNAcentral.
GAUGAACGUUGGCGGCGUGCCUAAUACAUGCAAGUCGAACGAAGACUGUAGUAAUACUGUCUUAGUGGCGAAACGGGUGAGUAACGCGUGGGUGACCUGCCCCGAAGUGUGGGAUAACAGUUCGAAAGGAUUGCUAAUACUGCAUAAUAUCCAAGAGAUUAGACGCUUUUGGAUUAAAGGAGUAAUUCGCUUCGGGAGGGGCCCGCGUCCCAUCAGCUAGUUGGUAAGGUAAUGGCUUACCAAGGCGAUGACGGGUAGGGGACCUGAGAGGGUGGCCCCCCACAAUGGAACUGAAACACGGUCCAUACACCUACGGGUGGCAGCAGUGGGGAAUAUUAGUAAUGGGCGAAAGCCUGAACUAGCAACGCCGCGUGUGCGAAGAAGGCCUUCGGGUUGUAAAGCACUUUUUGAGAGGAUGAGGAAGGACGGUACUCUCAGAAUAAGUCUCGGCUAACUACGUG